This 768-nucleotide long non-coding RNA is filed under the name Homo sapiens (human). RNAcentral describes it as "non-protein coding lnc-LATS2-3:1". The record is from RNAcentral. Lineage: Eukaryota; Metazoa; Chordata; Mammalia; Primates; Hominidae.
CCGCGAGGCGCCAGGGCUGCGCCAGGGCAUGGAAGAGGGGCUAAUGGACGCGAAUUAAUGAGGGUACCUACCACACGUGCAGCGCUGUGUCUCGCUGAGUUUUCUGAAGUUUCCUCCAAAUAGGAAGAAGACCUCGGAAGAGAUAUUUCAGCACCUGCAGAACAUAGUGGACUUUGGCAAAAAUGUCAUGGAGUUUUUGGGGGAGAACUAUGUUCAUUGUGGGGAAGUUGUUCAGCCACCUUUAGAGUUUGUGAAACAGCUUCGUUUAAAGAUACAAGAAAGACCAGAGUCUCACUGUGACAAGGACCUGGACACUCUCAGUGGUUACAGUAUGUGCCUUCUCCAUUUAACCAGACUUCAGACCUACCACUUUUCAGAGCACCAUCGGCCGAUUCUGUGUGUAGAGAUUAAGCCAAAACGUGGGUUUAUUCCUUUCUCGAGUGAUGUCACGCAUGACUGUCGUUCAAGGUGCAGCAGUACUGCAUCACCAUGACUGCCAAGGACUGCUCCAUCAUGAUUGCACUCUCUCCGUGUCUGCAGGAUGCCAGAUCUGAUCAAAGGCCUGUCAUCCCUUCAUCAAGGCCCAGGGUUGCUUUCUCCAUGUCUGUGGUGGACCUUGACCUCAAGCCCUACGAGAGCAUUCCCUAUCAGUAUAAACUGGAUGGCAAGAUCAUCAACUACUAUUCAAAGACUGUACGUGCCAAAGACAAUACCAUGAUGUCGACUCGGUUCAAGGAAAGUGAAGAUUGCACAUUAGUUCUCCACAAG